CUACGGGCCGCUGCAGUGAGGAAUAUUGCACAAUGGGGGGAACCCUGAUGCAGCAACGCCGCGUGGAGGAUGACGCAUUUCGGUGUGUAAACUCCUUUUAUAUGUCAAGAAAAUGACGGUAGCAUAUGAAUAAGCACCGGCUAACUCCGUGCCAGCAGCCGCGGUAAUGACGGAGGGUGCAAGCGUUACUCGGAAUCACUGGGCGUAAAGGACGCGUAGGCGGGUUGGAAAGUCAGGUGUGAAAUCCUACAGCUUAACUGUAGAACUGCACUUGAAACUUCUAAUCUAGAGUAUGGGAGGGGGAGAUGGAAUUAGUGGUGUAGGGGUAAAAUCCGUAGAUAUCACUAGGAAUACCGAAAGCGAAGGCGAUCUCCUGGAACAUUACUGACGCUAAGGCGUGAAAGCGUGGGGAGCAAACAGGAUUAGAUACCCGGGUAGUC
RNAcentral lists this ribosomal RNA (440 nucleotides) under uncultured bacterium. RNAcentral describes it as "partial 16S ribosomal RNA". It matches the Rfam family "Bacterial small subunit ribosomal RNA", at positions 339 to 795 of the family's 1533-position model. The record is from RNAcentral.